Long non-coding RNA from Hibiscus syriacus, 344 nucleotides. RefSeq lists it as uncharacterized. The record is from RefSeq and is a predicted model, not a curated record. The transcript has 2 exons. Lineage: Eukaryota; Viridiplantae; Streptophyta; Magnoliopsida; Malvales; Malvaceae.
GCCUGACUAGGUUUUUAUGCUCCACACUGCUAAUAAUGUUGACUUCAUUGUAGAAAUCGGCUGCUCUGUGUCGAUUGUUAAAGAAUAGCCUCUUGAUAGCAAUCUCUCGUCCAUCCGGUAAAUCACUACCUUAUAAACUGUCCCGAAUCCACCUUGUCCGAGCUUGUUGGCAUCGUUGAAAGAUCCAGUAGCACGCUCAAGCGUGGAAUACUUGAAAUUUAAGUUACUAUCACGAAGGAGUUUCACAAACUUUUCUGCAUCAUUUGAACCUGGGAAUGCAGGCAACACAUAUCGAAUCAUACCCCCAUAAUCAAGCUCGAAGAUUUAUCGAACACGAAAAUUUU